This 69-nucleotide transfer RNA is filed under the name Urocitellus parryii (Arctic ground squirrel). RNAcentral's name for it is "Spermophilus parryii (Arctic ground squirrel) tRNA". It matches the Rfam family "tRNA". Rfam says of the family: Transfer RNA (tRNA) molecules are approximately 80 nucleotides in length. The record is from Rfam by way of RNAcentral. RNAcentral also lists the same sequence under 1 other name. Lineage: Eukaryota; Metazoa; Chordata; Mammalia; Rodentia; Sciuridae.
GGGGUUGUGGCUCAAUGGUAGAGCACUUGCUUAACAUGCGUGAGGCACUGGGUUCGAUCCUCAGCACCA